This is an RNA transcript of Rhinopithecus roxellana (golden snub-nosed monkey), 1686 nucleotides long. It is a transcript of the gene named protein FAM210B, mitochondrial pseudogene, with no coding region annotated. The record is from RefSeq and is a predicted model, not a curated record. The transcript has a single exon. NCBI's taxonomy places the organism in Eukaryota, Metazoa, Chordata, Mammalia, Primates, Cercopithecidae.
CGAGUCAGCGGCUCCCGGGCCGCGCCUAGCUGCGUGCCAUGGCCGGGUUGCUGGUGUUGCUGGUCCCGGCAGGCAGGAUGGGCGCCCGGGUCCGGCCUCGCGCCACCUGGCUCCUGGGCGCCACCGCCCCCUGCUCCCCGCCGCCCCUGGCCCUGGCCCUGCUCCCGCCCAGGCCAGACGCCCGGCUGCUCCACACGGCGCGCGGGGGCUGCCGCGGCCGCCAGGAUCCCAGCCAGGCCACAGAGACAACAGGCAGCAGCGUCAGUUGCACAGAGGAGAAAAAGCAAAGCAAGUCACAGCAACUGAAAAAGAUUUUUCAAGAGUAUGGCACUGUCGGCGUGUCGCUGCACAUUGGAAUCUCAUUAAUCUCCUUGGGCAUAUUUUACAUGGUUGUGUCAAGUGGUGUGGACAUGUCUGCAGUCCUGCUGAAACUCGGAUUUAAAGAGUCCCUGGUACAGUCAAAAAUGGCAGCAGGCACAAGUACCUUUGUGGUGGCCUAUGCAAUCCACAAGCUGUUUGCGCCAGUGAGAAUCAGCAUGACGCUAGUCUCUGUGCCCUUGAUUGUCAGAUAUUUUCGAAAAGUGGGAUUCUUUAAACCUCCAGCUGCAAAACCUUAAUGAACUCUUCAGUCGUACACACUGAAAACCUAUUUCUUCUAAAUUACACAAUUUGGACUGGUUUUAGGGUUAUAGGGUUUCUUUUGGAGAGGUAGGGGGCUAAUUGCUAUGUUCUCAUGGAUAAACUUUGCCAGCAAAAAUCAGGCUUUUGAACAAUUUUAAUUUUUUGCCUCAUAAAUUUUGUGAAUGCUAUUCAUUAUAGGGCUUGUAUAUAUAAUCUAAAAUGUCAGCAAGACAUCACAGAUGGGUUAACAUCUCAAAACAAAAUAGCCUACAAAUGUUCCUUGUGGGAGAUUUUGGCGAGGGUCUGUCUGUAAAAGCUCCAGGGGGUUAAUCUUGGCUCAGUUUCCUAAAAAGCAAUGAUUAAUUUAACUGGCUUUUAAAUAUCCCCUUCCGCUGAUAUUUGUUUUCAGCUGCCUACAGUUUAAUAUGCAGUGUUCUGCAAAACAGCUGCCAGUGCUACGAUUAAUGAAGCAAAACUUAAUAUGUAAUCACAAUCUAAAUUAGCAUCAAUACUUUGACAUUCAUUCUAUUUGUUUUUGGGGGAAGAAGAGUAUUUCUGGUGUGUUUCAUUGAUCCCCAAACACCUUCCAAUCUGGACAUGAUGGGGUUGAUUCCAGAUGGUUUUUCUGAAAUUUCAUUAAAGUAGGUUGGCAUCAUUUGUAUCUAUUUAGGUAAAAUAUGAAAACUCUGCCCAGUAGCAGGGGCAUCACUUGGUUCCUGAUGCCCAUGUUCCAGAGGAAUUUGGAUACCACACAGAAACAGCUAAGACAAUCUUAGCUUUUCUUAGACAAUCUUUAUCUCAAACUUCAGUCAUUCCAGAAUUGUCAUGAUGUUUACACUGUCUUAUUGAGUUAAAAAUCCUGUUCAAGAAAAAAAAAAACAUUUUGUAUCACUUCCUAAAAAGGAAUAUUCGUGGCACUUGUCACAAAUGGAAGGCAACUAUGAGACUAUGCAAGCCAGGGAGGGGCUUGUAUUACACGGCAGGUGUACUUAGUCUACUGAGCCAGCUUUACCCAAUGAAGGGCAUGUAUGUUAGAGAGAUUAGCUAAGAGUAGAAAUUCAAGCA